AAUAGAUACCCAGGUAGUCCACGCCGUAAACGAUGGAUACUAGCUGUUUGAGCGCAAGUUUGAGUGGCUAAACGAAAGUGAUAAGUAUCCCACCUGGGGAGUACGGGCGCAAGCCUGAAACUCAAAGGAAUUGACGGGGGCCCGCACAAGCGGUGGAGCAUGUGGUUUAAUUCGAUGAUACGCGAGGAACCUUACCAGGGCUUAAAUGUAGAUUGACGUAUUUGGAAACAGAUAUUUCUUCGGACAAUUUACAAGGUGCUGCAUGGUUGUCGUCAGCUCGUGCCGUGAGGUGUCAGGUUAAGUCCUAUAACGAGCGCAACCCCUGUUGUUAGUUGCCAGCGAGUAAUGUCGGGAACUCUAGCAAGACUGCCAGUGUAAACUGUGAGGAAGGUGGGGAUGACGUCAAAUCAUCACGGCCCUUACGGUCCUGGGCCACACACGUGCUACAAUGGCCGGUACAGAGAGCAGCCACUUAGCGAUAAGGAGCGAAUCUAUACAGCCGGUCACAGUUCGGA
RNAcentral lists this ribosomal RNA (515 nucleotides) under uncultured bacterium. RNAcentral describes it as "bacterial SSU rRNA". It matches the Rfam family "Bacterial small subunit ribosomal RNA", at positions 777 to 1297 of the family's 1533-position model. The record is from RNAcentral.